UGAACGCUGGCGGCAGGCCUAACACAUGCAAGUCGAGCGGAUGACGGGAGCUUGCUCCUUGAUUCAGCGGCGGACGGGUGAGUAAUGCCUAGGAAUCUGCCUGGUAGUGGGACAACGUUCGAAGGAACGCUAAUACCGCAUACGUCCUACGGGAGAAAGCAGGGGACCUUCGGGCCUUGCGCAUCAGAUGAGCCUAGGUCGGAUAGCUGUUGGUGAGGUAAUGGCUCACCAAGGCGACGAUCCGUAACUGGUCUGAGAGGAUGAUCAGUCACACUGGAACUGAGACACGGUCCAGACUCCUACGGGAGGCAGCAGUGGGGAAUAUUGGACAAUGGCGAAGCCUGAUCCAGCCAUGCCGCGUGUGUGAAGAAGGUCUUCGGAUUGUAAAGCACUUUAAGUUGGGAGGAAGGGCAGUAAGUUAAUACCUUGCUGUUUUGACGUUACCGACAGAAUAAGCACCGGCUAACUCUGUGCCAGCAGCCCGUU
Molecule: ribosomal RNA, 486 nt
Filed under: uncultured Pseudomonas sp.
Lineage: Bacteria; Pseudomonadati; Pseudomonadota; Gammaproteobacteria; Pseudomonadales; Pseudomonadaceae
Description: bacterial SSU rRNA
Rfam family: Bacterial small subunit ribosomal RNA
Source: RNAcentral